This 497-nucleotide ribosomal RNA is filed under the name uncultured bacterium. Its description in RNAcentral is "partial 16S ribosomal RNA". It matches the Rfam family "Bacterial small subunit ribosomal RNA", at positions 28 to 507 of the family's 1533-position model. The record is from RNAcentral.
GAUGAACGCUGGCGGCGUGCCUAAUACAUGCAAGUCGAGCGAACGGACGAGAAGCUUGCUUUUCUGAUGUUAGCGGCGGACGGGUGAGUAACACGUGGAUAACCUACCUAUAAGACUGGGAUAACUUCGGGAAACCGGAGCUAAUACCGGAUAAUAUUUUGAACCGCAUGGUUCAAAAGUGAAAGACGGUCUUGCUGUCACUUAUAGAUGGAUCCGCGCUGCAUUAGCUAGUUGGUAAGGUAACGGCUUACCAAGGCAACGAUGCAUAGCCGACCUGAGAGGGUGAUCGGCCACACUGGAACUGAGACACGGUCCAGACUCCUACGGGAGGCAGCAGUAGGGAAUCUUCCGCAAUAGGCGAAAGCCUGACGGAGCAACGCCGCGUGAGUGAUGAAGGUCUUCGGAUCGUAAAACUCUGUUAUUAGGGAAGAACAUAUGUGUAAGUAACUGUGCACAUAUUGACGGUACCUAAUCAGAAAGCCACGGCUAACUACGUG